AUGAAACUCAUCGGAUGGAACUGCCGGGGGCUCGGGAACAGCCCAGCAGUUCGUAGCCUCCUCGAUUUGGGGAGGGCGGAGGAACCCGAUGUUCUCUUUUUGGUGGAGAUGAAAUUGACAGAGAAGGAGUUGCAGAGGUUUCGGUGGUCGUUGGGCUUGGCUAAUAUGACAAUGUGGAAUCCGGUCGGCCGUAGCUGAGGCGUAGCAUUGUUCUGGAGGAGGGGGCUAAGCGUAGCUUUGAGAUGUCGUAGGCCCAUGUAG
This 261-nucleotide ribosomal RNA is filed under the name Triticum aestivum (bread wheat). RNAcentral describes it as "partial small subunit ribosomal RNA". The record is from RNAcentral. Lineage: Eukaryota; Viridiplantae; Streptophyta; Magnoliopsida; Poales; Poaceae.